ACAAGAUGCCUCAGAAGAGCUACAUGCUGCAGAUUUUGUUUCCAUGCUCAAACACAGCCUGCACAAACUGCUUGAAGACUCUGUCCAUUGAAUUCAGAUGGCCAAAAGUAUUCAGAGCUGAAUGGCUACAACAUUGAUCCACUGGGUAACCUACAGAAGAACCCUUGAUAAAAGAAAAAUAAAGAACCAUCCUACUGCCUGUCUCCACUCACCUUGGCGAUGCUACUGAAGUAAUAGCAGGCGAAGGCGGCGCUGAAGCCCAGCACCAGGGACAAGCCCACACUAGAACCGAAGAGCCCCACCGGCACCUGGAUAUCCAGACAGUCUGCCAUCUAAAUCAGCAAAAGACAGAAGUGAAUUGGGAAUUCAGGGUUACACACUCAGGAUCAAAGGACUGCAACUUUAAACUUGUCUCUUGGCAAACCAUGUUUAGUCCUUUCCCUAAUCACUGAGGAAGAAUGAGGUUAGCCUGUUGUUCACUGGGGAUCAUGUCACACAUUUCAUUUUGACACCCACCUCUGAACAAUUAGCCCCAUCACUACUGUGAUGGCAUACAGUCUGCUGUCUUUUGCCAUAAUAUCAGCCAGCUAAAAAUCCUGCUCCUUCCAAGUCCCUAAGAAUUUAAUCUUGCUCUGCAGCAGAAGGAGAUGGUGUCCCAGUAUCUUCUCCUCUGUGCAAUGAUUGUCUUUGCUGAAUAAAAUGAGAAGUUAGACUUCUUGGAGGAGGAAUCGAAGAACCAAGAUUUGGAAGGGACACUAUGUAUUUAAAAGCAUUGAACUCCUCUCACUCAGGCACAAGGAAGACUUCCUCAACCAUUUCAGCCAAAGGGUAGUAAAAAGUAUAUGCUUUAGAUCAUCCUCAGCAAGAAGCACCAGCUGUACAUUUGCUGAUAAUGAAUAUCUAAAAAGUAGAAUUGAUGAGAUGAGAAAAUUAUGACCCUAGGGCCAUCAAUGGAUCCUCAUAAAAUCAAAGACCCACACUGGAAAGAGAAAAUGUUCUGGUAAUUUGCCAUUCACGACUCUUAUGAAUUUGUGUACCAUUGAAUGGCUGCAAAAUGCCCCAUAGUAAUGUAGUAAGUUCAGUACAAGCAAAAUUCACUCUCAGCAUAAAGACAUCCGAGCAGUUUAAGAAUGACACACCUUCUUGGCAUGAUACGUGUUAAUCUUUUGAGGCUUCCACUGCAGAAGUGGAACUCAAACUCUGUGGUAGGGAAUGGAUGCACAAGGGGCACAUUUUCACAUUAAAGAAGCUAUUCCUUAUGAGCAAAUACUUUGGAGUCUUAGUAUGGUGGAGGAAACAGUGGGUAAUGGGAUCAAUGCUAUAGUCGUUUAUAAGUUUUGUAUCACUGCUGUGCUAUACUGUGAGAAAGCUGUAUGCAAGAAAAGUCAGGAAAUGUUUUCAUGAGCUCUUCUACCACUGGCGUGUAAAGGAAGUACAGAAAGGGAAAUAAUAACCUAGUUAUGAGGGAAGCGCAGCUACCUUUUAGCAGUUAUUUUUUCUCUUCUGACUAAUCACUUCUCUUUCAAAUCCUGCCUAGGAUGCUUAUUACUCAGCAUAGCACAUCCUUGUAAGGACAGAUAAGAACAAUGAUAAUAUCAGUCCGUCUUUUUUUAGUUAUAUCCUCUGUCAAUCAUAAUAUGAUUUCUUAUUAGAACAGAAGGGGAAAACAUUAUUUAAGAUGCGUAAACAUCAACUUGGCAUGUGUGGAAUUAACCCAAGAAUAAUCUUUAGAGUGAAAUAUGCAUGUGUGUAGAUUAAUUAAGAGCCAUAUUCUAGAUCUUUGUGCAAAGUCUGGGUUUUGUGCAGAGGAACUUCAUGGGGAGCCAGAG
Non-coding RNA from Chelonoidis abingdonii (Abingdon island giant tortoise), 1829 nucleotides. The record is from RefSeq and is a predicted model, not a curated record. Lineage: Eukaryota; Metazoa; Chordata; Testudines; Testudinidae.